Molecule: long non-coding RNA, 1587 nt
Organism: Biomphalaria glabrata
Lineage: Eukaryota; Metazoa; Mollusca; Gastropoda; Planorbidae
Exons: 2
Source: RefSeq, a predicted model, not a curated record
UCAUCCUGUCUGUAAUAUUGAGACGUCUGCAUUGUUGUGCUGUGAAAAUGCUCAAAAUUUUCAUGACUGUCUUUCAUGACUGCCAACUUUGUUUAUGUUAACGUCUUUUGUGUGACCAAAAAAAUAAUAAAGGUCAGCGACGUGUAAAUUAACGCGAAAAGGAUUUUACGAUGAUCUCACCAAUCCCAUACAUGCGUGCGCUGCCUAAUUCUUUAUUGGAUUUAGUUUGACCUGAGUAUUUUCAUUUGCUAAGAUGAACAGUGUGCUCUAGACGCCAGGAGAAUGCAUUUCUCAGCACUGACUGAAAGAAACAAAAUUUUUGAAACGUCAUACUCUUUUUUAGUUUAAUCUUUUUUUUUUGGAGGGGUCCAUGCGCUCUUCUUACUCCGAGAAUAAAAGGUGUUGUAGGCGAAAGAAAGGUGUAGGCGAAAGAACGGUGUUGUAGACGAAAGAAAGGUGUUGUAGACGAGAGAAAGGUGUUGUAGACGAGAGAAAGGUGUUGUAGACGAGAGAAAGGUGUUGUAGGCGAAAGAAAGGUGUUGUAGAUGAAAGAAAGGUGUUGUAGACGAAAGAAAGGUGUUGUAGACGAGAGAAAGGUGUUGUAGACGAAAGAAAGGUGUUGUAGACGAGAGAAAGGUGUUGUAGACGAGAGAAAGGUGUUGUAGAUGAGAGAAAGGUGUUGUAGGCGAAAGAAAGGUGUUGUAGGCGAAAGAAAGGUGUUGUAGACGAAAGAAAGGUGUUGUAGACGAAAGAAAGGUGUUGUAGGCGAAAGAAAGGUGUUGUAGACGAAAGAAAGGUGUUGUAGGCGAAAGAAAGGUGUUGUAGGCGAAAGAAAGGUGUUGUAGAAAGGUGUAGGCGAAAGAAAGGUGUAGACGACAGAAAGGUGUUGUAGGCGAAAGAAAGGUGUUGUAGACGAAAGAAAGGUGUUGUAGGCGAAAGAAAGGUGUUGUAGGCGAAAGAAAGGUGUUGUAGAAAGGUGUAGGCGAAAGAAAGGUGUAGACGACAGAAAGGUAUUGUGGGCGAAAGAAAGGUGUUGUAGACGAGAGAAAGGUGUUGUAGAUGAGAGAAAGGUGUUGUAGACGAAAGAAAGGUGUUGUAGGCGAGAGAAAGGUGUUGUAGGCGAGAGACAGGUGUUGUAGAUGAGAGAAAGGUGUUGUAGAUGAGAGAAAGGUGUUGUAGGCGAAAGAAAGGUGUUGUAGGCGAGAGAAAGGUGUAGACGAAAGAAAGGUGUUGUAGACGAGAGAAAGGUGUAGGCGAAAGAAAGGUCUUGUAGACGAGAGAAAGGUGUAGGCGAAAGAAAGGUGUUGUAGACGAAAGAAAGGUGUUGUAGGCGAGAGAAAGGUGUUGUAGGCGAGAGAAAGGUGUUGUAGAUGAGAGAAAGGUGUUGUAGACGAGAGAAAGGUCUUGUAGACGAGAGAAAGGUGUUGUAGACGAAAGAAAGGUGUUGUAGACGAGAGAAAGGUGUAGGCGAAAGAAAGGUGUUGUAGACGAGAGAAAGGUGUAGGCGAAAGAAAGGUGUUGUAGACGAGAGAAAGGUGUUGUAGGCGAGAGAAAGGUGUUGUAGGCGAGAGAAAGGUGUUGUAGACG